AGUCGACGAUGAAUCUUCUAGCUUGCUAGAAGUGGAUUAGUGGCGCACGGGUGAGUAAUGCAUAGGUUAUGUGCCCUUUAGUCUGGGAUAGCCACUGGAAACGGUGAUUAAUACUGGAUACUCCCUACGGGGGAAAGUUUUUCGCUAAAGGAUCAGCCUAUGUCCUAUCAGCUUGUUGGUGAGGUAAUGGCUCACCAAGGCUAUGACGGGUAUCCGGCCUGAGAGGGUGAUCGGACACACUGGAACUGAGACACGGUCCAGACUCCUACGGGAGGCAGCAGUAGGGAAUAUUGCUCAAUGGGGGAAACCCUGAAGCAGCAACGCCGCGUGGAGGAUGAAGGUUUUAGGAUUGUAAACUCCUUUUGUUAGAGAAGAUUAUGACGGUAUCUAACGAAUAAGCACCGGCUAACUCCGUGCCAGCAGCCGCGGUAAUACGGAGGGUGCAAGCGUUACUCGGAAUCACUGGGCGUAAAGAGUGCGUAGGCGGGGUAAUAAGUCAGAUGUGAAAUCCUGUAGCUUAACUACAGAACUGCAUUCGAAACUGUUACUCUGGAGUGUGGGAGAGGUAGGUGGAAUUCUUGGUGUAGGGGUAAAAUCCGUAGAGAUCAAGAGGAAUACUCAUUGCGAAGGCGACCUGCUGGAACAUUACUGACGCUGAUGCACGAAAGCGUGGGGAGCAAACAGGAUUAGAUACCCUGGUAGUCCACGCCCUAAACGAUGGAUGCUAGUUGUUGCCUUGCUUGUCAGGGCAGUAAUGCAGCUAACGCAUUAAGCAUCCCGCCUGGGGAGUACGGUCGCAAGAUUAAAACUCAAAGGAAUAGACGGGGACCCGCACAAGCGGUGGAGCAUGUGGUUUAAUUCGA
This 863-nucleotide ribosomal RNA is filed under the name uncultured bacterium. RNAcentral's name for it is "bacterial SSU rRNA". It matches the Rfam family "Bacterial small subunit ribosomal RNA", at positions 60 to 954 of the family's 1533-position model. The record is from RNAcentral.